CGAGCCCAUGAACCUAUUCACGAUUUGCGCGGUUUAGACGGGAAGUUAUGUGAAUUCGGAUGGGAUACAGGGCAAAGAAGAGACUUUUUUUCCCUCGUCGAGGCUGUUCCAGAUACCAGCCCAGCCUGUUCAAAAUGGCGGACGCUCGCAAACGGAAAUGACAUAUAUUUUUGUGAAGUUCAAAAGGGGCCACGCUGAUGUCUGAGGCCUUUCAUCGACAUCACACAAUUCAGAAAGACGGCGCCGUCUGCGAAAGUUAAUGCAGAACUGAUACAGCAGCCCGCUGUCGAAGAAAUGGUGCUUCUGAGAGACUGAAAUGAAGAGGCAAAGGCAAACAUGAAGAGAUGAUCAUUUUACAUGGAGAUAUGCUGCGGUGAAACAGGACCAGUAUGGAGGACGUGGAAGCCCGUCUUUCCCAGCGCAGACACACAGGCUUUAGGCUUCAGGAGGCAUUAUCAGACCUGAGCAUCAUCAGGUCAGCACUUUUCCAUCAGGGCAUCAGAAACUCACAGUCUGUACCGUCGGCCAAUGAUGAGGAACUGACGAGGUCUGAGGUGACAUUUCACAGCUACAAGUGCAAACCACCAACAUUCAUCUUCACAUAAUGAGUCUGCAUUGUCUAGAUGCGUUUAGUAAAAGAUGACACAAUAUACAUAAACAAAUAGACAAACAAAGAGGAUCUAGUUUUUAUUUAAAUGCAGCUUAAUGUAUUCAAACACCAUAUAAAGGUCAUUGGUUUUAGUGCCAUUUAAAUUCAUGUGUUGAACUUAUUUCAUGUUGUUUUGUUUAAAAUAGGUAAAAACUAUGAUAACAAGUGAACAAUAAACUGUGAAGCAGAGAUGCCAAACCUAGGGUCUGUGAUGGUAUUUUUCCGAAAUGUACUUUAGUUUCCAUAAAUUAACAAAAUUUGAGGUUUUUCCACAGAAUUUCUUUCCCUCCUGAUCGUCUGCAUAAAAUGUUCCCAGCUUGUUCCGACCUCUAUUUUAAGUGCAAAACUUGUAAGGGCACAUUCUUUCAUUUAUUCUGCUCCUGUUUUCACAUCCAACCAUAUUGGAGAGGGGUUCAUUCUGCAAUGCAGGAGAUAAUAGGAAACCGUUUUAUUUUCUCCCUCUUACGUUUUUUUUUUUUUUUUUUUGAAUGACA
This is a non-coding RNA of Danio rerio (zebrafish), 1143 nucleotides long. NCBI's taxonomy places the organism in Eukaryota, Metazoa, Chordata, Actinopteri, Cypriniformes, Danionidae. The record is from RefSeq and is a predicted model, not a curated record.